RNAcentral lists this ribosomal RNA (729 nucleotides) under uncultured bacterium. Its description in RNAcentral is "bacterial SSU rRNA". It matches the Rfam family "Bacterial small subunit ribosomal RNA", at positions 665 to 1395 of the family's 1533-position model. The record is from RNAcentral.
AAUUCCUAGUGUAGAGGUGAAAUUCGUAGAUAUUAGGAGGAACACCAGUGGCGAAGGCGACUUUCUGGACUGUAACUGACGCUGAGGCACGAAAGUGUGGGGAGCGAACAGGAUUAGAUACCCUGGUAGUCCACACCGUAAACGAUGAAUACUAGGUGUCGGGGGUCGAACCUCGGUGCCGCAGCUAACGCAUUAAGUAUUCCGCCUGGGGAGUACGCACGCAAGUGUGAAACUCAAAGGAAUUGACGGGGACCCGCACAAGUAGCGGAGCAUGUGGUUUAAUUCGAAGCAACGCGAAGAACCUUACCAAGUCUUGACAUCCUUAUGCAAAUCUCUUAGCCGAGAUGUUCUCUUCGGAGACAUAAGUGACAGGUGGUGCAUGGUUGUCGUCAGCUCGUGUCGUGAGAUGUUGGGUUAAGUCCCGCAACGAGCGCAACCCUUAUGUUUAGUUGCCAUCAGUUAGGCUGGGCACUCUAGACAGACUGCCGUGGACAACACGGAGGAAGGUGGGGAUGACGUCAAAUCAUCAUGCCCCUUAUGAUUUGGGCUACACACGUGCUACAAUGGUCGGUACAACGGGCAGCGAAGGAGUGAUCUGGAGCGAAUCCUAAAAAGCCGAUCUCAGUUCGGAUUGUAGGCUGCAACUCGCCUACAUGAAGUUGGAGUUACUAGUAAUCGUGGAUCAGAAUGCCGCGGUGAAUGCGUUCCCGGGCCUUGUACACACCGCCC